AACUCUUGGAACUCAGUUUGGCUGAUACUCAAGCCUCAAGGAUAAACACUAAUGAGAACAACAUAACAUGAUAUUAUUGGAAACCAUAAAACCACCAGCUAGAAAUUCAUCACCUGUAAAUGUACACUUUUUAUGCAUCUGGGGUGAUAACAGCUGUCUCAAGUUCUUUCAGUAAUCUUCAUUGUGAGACCUUCCACAGUGAACCCUAAGACCUGACUCAGCAUCUCCCACAUUCCUGUGUUGAAACCUAACCUCCAAGGCUUGUUUUUCAUAGCAUGAUGACCACAAAAAUCCCUCAUGUGAAAGCGUAUAACAGGAACUUCAUCUUUAUUUAAGGCUGAAUAAAGCCUCAUGGGAUCUUAGCCUUGUCUCCUCAAAUCUCCUGUUCCUCAUCACAUUUGUGAUUAUGAUCUCUCCAUGAUGGAUCAACACCUAUGAAGCAGCCAUCAUGUGUCUUUAGAGAAGAAAGAAAAACAUCUUGAAAGUUUAGAAGAGAAUCCAUCUUCACAUCCUGUCCACGUUUGGUCUGGAAUGCCAGGGUUACCAAUGGACAACCAGAAAUUAACAGCUGCGUGUCCUUAACUGUUUUAUUUAUGUUUAACUUUUAAGAAAAUUAGUUGACAAUGCUAUCUACUCUAACUUUUAAAACUGAAGUUAUUCAUGGGGAGUCAGUAUUCACAUGUCGAAUAGAAAAAAAAAACGUAUUUUUUUUUCUGUGUUGAAGAGACUUUUAAGGAAUUAUAAUAUUACUUUUCUAUUGGAAGUGUUGAAUGCUAGUGAAAGUAAUUUGUUAGAUUUGAUGAAUUUCAA
Molecule: long non-coding RNA, 810 nt
Organism: Peromyscus eremicus (cactus mouse)
Lineage: Eukaryota; Metazoa; Chordata; Mammalia; Rodentia; Cricetidae
Exons: 5
Source: RefSeq, a predicted model, not a curated record